Molecule: ribosomal RNA, 729 nt
Filed under: Sporodictyon terrestre
Lineage: Eukaryota; Fungi; Ascomycota; Eurotiomycetes; Verrucariales; Verrucariaceae
Description: SSU rRNA
Rfam family: Bacterial small subunit ribosomal RNA
Source: RNAcentral
CGGCUGAACCAGCAAUUUGGAGGAAUGGAUAAUGAAUAAGUCAUAUAAAAUUCUAGAUAGUGAACGGAUAAUGACUAAUUACUAUCUAUUAGUCUUGACCAAAUUACGUGCCAGCAGUCGCGGCAAUACGCAGAAGACAAGUGUUAUUCAUCUUUAUUAGGUUUAAAGGGUACCUAGACGGAUAAUCAAGCCAAUUCGGGACUAAUUUUCUAGAGUUUUAUGGGAGAAGGUAGAAUGUCUGGUGUAGCGAUAAAAUGCUGUAAUACUGGAUGGACAGGUAAAGGCGUAGGCAACUUUCUAUGUAAAAACUGACGUUGAGGGACGAAGCCCUGGGUAGCAAUAAGGAUUAGAUACCCCGGUAGUCCAGGGAGAAAAUGAUGAGUGUCAUAGGCUAGAUAAAUUAGUCUAUAAAUGAAAGUGUAAGCAUUCCACCUCAAGACUAAAGCGGCAACGCUCAAAUUGAAAUCAUUAGACCGUUUCUGAAACCAGUAGUGAAGUAUGUUAUUUAAUUCGAUAAUCCGCGAAUAACCUUACCACGUUUUGAAUAUUUUUACAGUUAAAGCUUAAAUCUACAAGCGCUGCACGGCUGUCUUUAGUUAAUGUCGUGAGAUCUGGUUAACUCCUUUAAUUAACGAAAUCCCUUGUUUUUAUUUGUUUAUAUAAACCAGUUCUCCGCUAUAUUGGAUAAGAUAAUAGGGAUUAAGGCAAGUCCUCAUGGCCUUAAUAACG